CGGGUGAGUAACACGUAUCCAACCUGCCGUCUACUCUUGGACAGCCUUCUGAAAGGAAGAUUAAUACAAGAUGGCAUCAUGAGUUCACAUGUUCACAUGAUUAAAGGUGUUCCGGUAGACGAUGGGGAUGCGUUCCAUUAGAUAGUAGGCGGGGUAACGGCCCACCUAGUCUUCGAUGGAUAGGGGUUCUGAGAGGAAGGUCCCCCACAUUGGAACUGAGACACGGUCCAA
RNAcentral lists this ribosomal RNA (231 nucleotides) under uncultured bacterium. RNAcentral describes it as "partial 16S ribosomal RNA". It matches the Rfam family "Bacterial small subunit ribosomal RNA", at positions 103 to 334 of the family's 1533-position model. The record is from RNAcentral.